RNAcentral lists this ribosomal RNA (253 nucleotides) under uncultured bacterium. Its description in RNAcentral is "partial 16S ribosomal RNA". It matches the Rfam family "Bacterial small subunit ribosomal RNA", at positions 524 to 776 of the family's 1533-position model. The record is from RNAcentral.
UACGUAGGGGGCAAGCGUUGUCCGGAGUUACUGGGCGUAAAGCGCACGCAGGCGGUCUCUUAAGUUUGGAGUGACAGUUGGUGGCUUAACUGCCAAAGUGCUUCGAAAACUGAGAGACUUGAGGGCUUCAGAGGGACACGGAAUUCCGGGUGGAGUGGUGAAAUGCGUAGAGAUCCGGAGGAACACCAGUGGCGAAGGCGGCUCACUGGACCGGUACUGACGCUGAUGCGCGAAAGCGUGGGGAGCAAACGGG